GCUGGUUUGGCUCAGUGGAUAGAGCCUCGGCCUCCAGACCGAAGGUCCCAGGUUCAAUUCCGGGUAAGGGCA
RNAcentral lists this transfer RNA (72 nucleotides) under Myotis lucifugus (little brown bat). It matches the Rfam family "tRNA". Rfam says of the family: Transfer RNA (tRNA) molecules are approximately 80 nucleotides in length. Lineage: Eukaryota; Metazoa; Chordata; Mammalia; Chiroptera; Vespertilionidae. The record is from Rfam by way of RNAcentral.